This 68-nucleotide transfer RNA is filed under the name Jacobsonina sp. RNAcentral's name for it is "tRNA-Ser". It matches the Rfam family "tRNA". Rfam says of the family: Transfer RNA (tRNA) molecules are approximately 80 nucleotides in length. Their secondary structure includes four short double-helical elements and three loops (D, anti-codon, and T loops). The record is from RNAcentral. Lineage: Eukaryota; Metazoa; Arthropoda; Insecta; Blattodea; Blattellidae.
AGUUAAAUACUUCUGAAAGUAUUAUGUUUUGAAAGCAUAAUUAAGGGGUUCAAUUCCCCUAUUAACUU